CGCCGCGUGAAUGAUGAAGGCCUUCGGGUCGUAAAAUCCUGUCAUAUGGGAAGAAAUGUGUGAUGGUUAAUACCCAUUGCAUUUGACGGUACCAUCAGAGGAAGCCCCGGCUAACUCCGUGCCAGCAGCCGCGGUAAUACAGAGGGUGCAAGCGUUGUUCGGAAUUACUGGGCGUAAAGCGCGCGUAGGCGGUUUGUUAAGUCAGAUGUGAAAGCCCAGGGCUCAACCCUGGACGUGCAUUUGAAACUGGCAGACUUGAGUAUUGGAGGGGGUGGUGGAAUUCCCGGUGUAGAGGUGAAAUUCGUAAAUAUCGGGAGGAAUACCGGUGGCAAAGGCGACCACCUGGCCAAAUACUGACGCUGAGGUGCGAAAGCGUGGGGAGCAAACAGGAUUAAAUACCCUGGUAGUCCACGCCGUAAACAAUGACAACUAGGUGUUGGGACGGUUGAUCGUCUCAUUGCCGCAGCUAACGCAUUAAGUUCUCCGCCUGGGGA
Molecule: ribosomal RNA, 494 nt
Filed under: uncultured delta proteobacterium
Lineage: Bacteria; Deltaproteobacteria
Description: bacterial SSU rRNA
Rfam family: Bacterial small subunit ribosomal RNA
Source: RNAcentral